GGGGAAUAAUGCAAAUUACCCUGAUCUUCCUGGAAGAAAGCUGGGGUAUAAAUAAAACACAAUUUGGGGUGUAUGUCCGAUUUCAGUUUCUAGCUUUCUCUGCAAGAGCUUUUGAAAUUCUGACAGGGCAAAGAUCGAGUCCUUGGACUCUUUCCCAAGGUGCAAGUAAGAUACUGCCUUUUCUGUUCUACUAGGCAACAUGGUCAAACAAAAUACAUUUUGCUAGAGAGUAAAGAAGAUUCAAGGUCCGCAUACUUGUCAACUCAAGAAAAAGGUAAAACCUAACUUUUCUAAAAGCCUAAAUUUAGGUCCAGUUGCUAGAGGUUUGUUUCCCCCCCUUUCAAUUAACACACAUGCUGGAAUAAGUAGUCCAUGCACAAUGAGGAAUCAUAACUCUGCUUCUCAUUCUUCUGCAGCACAUAGUACAGCCAUUUAUCCAAACUUGCCCACAGCGACUUACUCACUUUGUAAUAAAAUCUAUGGGAAACCUUCUCAACUGCCAUUCUCAAGCAGUGACUUCAUCUCAUGCCAAAUAUAGGGUCCACCUAGUGUCAUUUCCAUCAAAAACAACAGGAGUAAGAGGCAGCCAUUUUUCCUAUGUCUCUUUUACCUGCUGACAUCUGUAAGGUAAGAAUUUUUAAAAUCAAACAUUUUAAAAUCAAAUGAACAGUAUGCAGUUCAUUUAUAUGAAUGGCCCACUAUAGCUGUCUGUGCAAAACAUGAAGCACAGGCCCACGCAAGACUGAGCAACUGGCCGAAGACAAACAGAAAUUAGCAAAAAUGGAAGAGUAACUGGACUGUAAGAAAACAUCUGGAGAUGCAGACAAUGACUGCAUGCAGGAAGAAGAAAUAGAAGUGAUUGUGGCAGGAGGUCAGAACAGAGUAGAGAUAGGGAAGAAAUUCAUUUAGUUCGAAUCUAAAUGCAGACAUGUCUAAUUUUGCAAUUUCAAGCCACCACAGAAUCCGAAAUGUAAUUAUCAUGCAGAUUUUGCCAUUCUUCAAGUCUGGAGUGGAGCUCACCAAUAUUUCUUCAUAAGUCUACUAAGAAGCAAUCUGCACAUCCACGGAAAAAGCAUCAAAUGCAUUCUAUAUAAGUUUCUUCUAAUCAAGCAUUCCCAAGAUGUGGAGCUCACAUAAUCAAGACAAUGGGGAAAAAGAAACAUCCAUUUCAUGUCUGCCAUCCAAUGAUGUAUUCCAUUUCUCUCUGUCAAAUGACACUAAUUAAGAUGGACCAGCUGGAUCCGUGGAAGCAGCUGAGAAGCUGGCCUUGAACCCUUUGAAAGAAACCAAGGUGUACAGAGAUCUUCCUGUUACUGAAGGGUGUGAGGUUGGCUGGUUGUGCACCUUUGGAAUCCUGGGGGCUGCCUAAAUGAAGAAUUCCACACUGCCAUGUGCAAUGAUUACUGGAUGUGCUACAUAUGAAGACCACCCAGAACUUCAGCUGGCCCAGAAUGCAGUGGCUCCAGAAGUUAUGGGCACCAGGCAGUUUGCCCAUGUAACACCUCUGUUUCAAGGGCUGCACUGAUUACCACUUUUUUCUGGGUGUAAUUCAAGGUGCUGGUUGUUGUAUUUAAAGCCUUUCAUGGUUCAGGGUGGGACUGCUUUCACCCAAUGUUAUCUACCUGUCCCUUGAGAUCAGGAACGGAAGGUUUCCUCCAGGCACCCUUCAAGGAUGCCAUCUAUAAAGAUCCCUAUGUCAGGGCUCCUCAACCCCCUUCUCUGGAACAGGAUUCUCCUGAUAUCAGAUGGGCUCCAACCUUGGUUAGAUUUCAUAAAGCAGUUAAGACCUGUUUAUUUUGGCAGGUCUUUGAUAUAUAAAGGGGGAAUGGGUAUAAGAGUUAUGGUUGUUUCUCAGUGUUUGAGUAACCUAUAUUGUUAAUAAGCCACUCAGAAGAGCAUAUAAGCCUAAUAAAAUAAUAAAUGAAUAAAUACACAUAAGUAUAAUUGUAGCAAUUUUUAAAAAUCUUU
This is a long non-coding RNA of Python bivittatus (Burmese python), 1968 nucleotides long. RefSeq lists it as uncharacterized. The record is from RefSeq and is a predicted model, not a curated record. NCBI's taxonomy places the organism in Eukaryota, Metazoa, Chordata, Lepidosauria, Squamata, Pythonidae.